UACAGAGGUCUCAAGCGUUGUUCGGAUUCAUUGGGCGUAAAGGGUGCGUAGGUGGCGCUGUAAGUCAGGUGUGAAAUUUCGGAGCUUAACUCCGAAACUGCAUUUGAUACUGCGGUGCUUGAGGACUGGAGAGGAGACUGGAAUUCACGGUGUGGCAGUGAAAUGCGUAGAGAUCGUGAGGAAGACCAGUGGCGAAGGCGGGUCUCUGGACAGUUCCUGACACUGAGGCACGAAGGCCAGGGGAGCAAACGGG
RNAcentral lists this ribosomal RNA (253 nucleotides) under uncultured bacterium. RNAcentral's name for it is "partial 16S ribosomal RNA". It matches the Rfam family "Bacterial small subunit ribosomal RNA", at positions 524 to 776 of the family's 1533-position model. The record is from RNAcentral.